UACGUAGGCAGCGAGCGUUGUUCGGAAUUACUGGGCGUAAAGCGUGCGCAGGCGGCCGCGCAAGUCGGGUGUGAAAGCCCCGGGCUUAACUUGGGAAUUGCGCUCGAAACUACGUGGCUGGAGUGUGGCAGAGGAAGGUGGAAUUCCACGUGUAGCGGUGAAAUGCGUAGAGAUGUGGAGGAACACCAAUGGCGAAGGCAGCCUGCUGGGCCAACACUGACGCUCAUGCACGAAAGCGUGGGGAGCAAACAGG
RNAcentral lists this ribosomal RNA (253 nucleotides) under uncultured bacterium. RNAcentral describes it as "partial 16S ribosomal RNA". It matches the Rfam family "Bacterial small subunit ribosomal RNA", at positions 524 to 776 of the family's 1533-position model. The record is from RNAcentral.